GUCAACACUGAUGUGCGCCCUCUCUCCCUCCAUCUGCACAGGCCCCAGGGAGUGGCUCAAACCUGUAGACCAGAGAAGGAAGCAUCUAGAACUCCUGGGGGCCUUGUCCGCCACCCACAUCCUCUCACGGGGGGCAGCUCCCAUGAGGGGUGCAGGCCCCUCACCCCACACAGAGUCUCGGCAGGAACCGGAACCCUUCCUGGUUGCCCCGGAGUGGAGGCCCGGGAGGGGUGGGCGGUGGGUCUGCACCAGAUGCUGCAGUUUGCUGAUGACUGGAAGGAUCACCAGCACAUAUGCGGCCAGUCAGCAGCUGUCACCGUCCAGGCAGACGAAGUCCACGUGGCUGAAAGCGUGAUGGAGAAGGUGACCGUGUGAGGCUCCAUCGGCCGCCCUGGGAGCUGGGGCCCCUCACACUCCUGUGAGGCUUUUGCAGGUCGAAGGCCCCCCUGAGGACUCUGGGGGGACGUUGAGAAGAGGGGUGUGGGAAGGUAAAGAAACUUGCUGGACAAGUUAUUAACACACUUUAAGCGAAUGGUGCCCUGGGGAGCGGACUCCCCCCGCCCGGGCCCCCUGCCCGCUCACGGACAGAUUUUUUAUCCCUGGGAUCAUGAGCGUCCGGUCUUGCCCACAGGGCCUGUGCUGCGACGCACAUACAUACGUGUUGUGUCUGUCAAUAAAGUGUAAAUAAGGU
This 691-nucleotide small RNA is filed under the name Pan troglodytes (chimpanzee). Its description in RNAcentral is "processed transcript". The record is from RNAcentral. Lineage: Eukaryota; Metazoa; Chordata; Mammalia; Primates; Hominidae.